AACUCAUGAUGAGGACACCUUCUCAAAAGAUCAUUAAAUCUCUUCCAUGCAGCAUAUAACGUCUCAAGCUCGAGUUGAGCAAAAAAGGAGAUGUCAUUCCUAAACUU
This is a non-coding RNA of Gossypium hirsutum (cotton), 107 nucleotides long. NCBI's taxonomy places the organism in Eukaryota, Viridiplantae, Streptophyta, Magnoliopsida, Malvales, Malvaceae. The record is from Rfam.